This 229-nucleotide ribosomal RNA is filed under the name uncultured bacterium. RNAcentral's name for it is "partial 16S ribosomal RNA". It matches the Rfam family "Bacterial small subunit ribosomal RNA", at positions 568 to 796 of the family's 1533-position model. The record is from RNAcentral.
UACGUAGGCGGAAAAUUAAGUCAGUGGUGAAAUCCUGCAGCUUAACUGUAGAACUGUCAUUGAUACUGGUUUUCUUGAAUACAGUUGAGGUAGGCGGAAUGUGUAAUGUAGCGGUGAAAUGCUUAGAUAUUACACAGAACACCGAUUGCGAAGACAGCUUACUAAACUGUUAUUGACGCUGAGGUACGAAAGCGUGGGGAGCAAACCGGAUUAGAUACCCGAGUAGUCC